Non-coding RNA from Homo sapiens (human), 271 nucleotides. The record is from the annotation of a RefSeq genome assembly. NCBI's taxonomy places the organism in Eukaryota, Metazoa, Chordata, Mammalia, Primates, Hominidae.
GUUCUAGUAAAGCCCUCAGAGACCCUCUCCUUCACCUGUGCUGUCUCUGGAUUUCCAAUCAUAACCAGUACUUCCUCCUGGAGCUGUAUCUGCCAGCCCCCAGGGAAGAAGCUGAAGUGGGUCAGGUGUGUAGGUCACGAGGAAACACACAGUGCAACCCGCUUCUCAAGAGUCCAGUCACCACCUCCAGAUCCACAUUCAGAAAACAGUUUUUCCUACAGCUGAGCUACCCGCACAAUGAGUAAACCACCAUGGAUUUUUAUACAAAAGA